RNAcentral lists this microRNA precursor (82 nucleotides) under Bombyx mori (domestic silkworm). RNAcentral's name for it is "mir-2807 microRNA precursor family". It matches the Rfam family "mir-2807 microRNA precursor family". Lineage: Eukaryota; Metazoa; Arthropoda; Insecta; Lepidoptera; Bombycidae. The record is from Rfam by way of RNAcentral.
UCAUAUUUAUUGUAUGGAAUUGGAUCGUUUGCGUAUGUUUGCCGCUAGGGGCGCUGUUCCAACUGCAUACAAAAUUGGCUUA